This 764-nucleotide ribosomal RNA is filed under the name Rhizophagus intraradices. RNAcentral describes it as "eukaryotic LSU rRNA". It matches the Rfam family "Eukaryotic large subunit ribosomal RNA", at positions 38 to 648 of the family's 3401-position model. Lineage: Eukaryota; Fungi; Glomeromycota; Glomeromycetes; Glomerales; Glomeraceae. The record is from RNAcentral.
GCAUAUCAAUAAGCGGAGGAAAAGAAAAUAACAAUGAUUCCCCUAGUAAUUGCGAAUGAAGAGGGACAAGCUCAAAUUUUAAAUCCAUCGGGUUUUUUACCCGAUCGAGUUGUAAUUUGAAGAAGCGUUUUCUGUGUUUCUGAUCAGUCCAAGUCCUUUGGGAUAAGGCAUCAUGGAGGGUGAGAAUCCCGUCCGGUUGAUCAGAUUCGCUUUACGAUACGCUUUCUAAGAGUCAAGUUGUUUGGGAUUGCAGCUUAAAAUGGGAGGUAAAUUUCUCCUAAGGCUAAAUAACGGCGAGAGACCGAUAGCGAACAAGUACCGUGAGGGAAAGAUGAAAAGAACUUUGAAAAGAGAGUUAAACAGUACGUGAAAUUGUUGAAAGGGAAACGAUUGAAGCCAGUCGUACCUUCGGGUAAUCAGCCUUUCGGGUGCGAUUAUGUGGAGUGUGAGGAGCUUAAACACCUUCAUGUUUUGCAUAUUCGUACUCUUGGGUGUACUUGCCCGUGUGGUUGGUUAACAUCAAUUUUGGUGGUCAUAAAACGACUGGAGGAAUGUAGCUUCGAUCUCGUAUUGAAGUGUUAUAGCCUUCGGUAGAUGUGAUGAUCGAGAUUGAGGAUUGCAACGGAUACCCUUCGGGGCUACCUGUCUGAUCUCUGAUCGUUGUUCUGGUGCCGAAAGCUUGCUUACGGUUAUCAAAGUCGAUGGUCAAUAGGUUAGAACGGGUUAAAUUCGUUAAGGAUGUUGACGUAAUGGCUUUAAACGAC